RNAcentral lists this transfer RNA (62 nucleotides) under Nymphon unguiculatum-charcoti complex sp. SEM-1997. RNAcentral describes it as "tRNA-Gly". Lineage: Eukaryota; Metazoa; Arthropoda; Pycnogonida; Pantopoda; Nymphonidae. The record is from RNAcentral.
UUCUAAUUAGUAUAAAAAGUAUAUCUAACUUCCAAUUAGAAAGUUUAUUAAUAAAUUAGAAA